RNAcentral lists this ribosomal RNA (381 nucleotides) under Streptomycetaceae bacterium ACTS107. RNAcentral describes it as "bacterial SSU rRNA". It matches the Rfam family "Bacterial small subunit ribosomal RNA", at positions 47 to 431 of the family's 1533-position model. Lineage: Bacteria; Bacillati; Actinomycetota; Actinomycetes; Kitasatosporales; Streptomycetaceae. The record is from RNAcentral.
CUUAACACAUGCAAGUCGAACGAUGAAGCCCUUCGGGGUGGAUUAGUGGCGAACGGGUGAGUAACACGUGGGCAAUCUGCCCUGCACUCUGGGACAAGCCCUGGAAACGGGGUCUAAUACCGGAUACUGAUCGCCUUGGGCAUCCUUGGUGAUCGAAAGCUCCGGCGGUGCAGGAUGAGCCCGCGGCCUAUCAGCUUGUUGGUGAGGUAAUGGCUCACCAAGGCGACGACGGGUAGCCGGCCUGAGAGGGCGACCGGCCACACUGGGACUGAGACACGGCCCAGACUCCUACGGGAGGCAGCAGUGGGGAAUAUUGCACAAUGGGCGAAAGCCUGAUGCAGCGACGCCGCGUGAGGGAUGACGGCCUUCGGGUUGUAAACC